GACGAACGCUGGCGGCGUGCUUAACACAUGCAAGUCGAGCGGAAAGGCCCUUCGUGGUACUCGUGCUGCGAACGGGUGAGUAACACGUGAGUAACCUUCCCCAGACUUUGGGAUAACCCUCGGUAACGGGGGCUAAUACCGGAUACGGCUCAGCUUCGCAUCUGGUCUGUGUGGAAAGUUUUUCGGUUUGGGAUGGGCUCGCGGCCUAUCAGCUUGUUGGUGGGGUGGUGGCCUACCAAGGCGACGACGGGUAGCCGGCCUGAGAGGGCGACCGGCCACACUGGGACUGAGACACGGCCCAGACUCCUACGGGAGGCAGCAGUGGGGAAUAUUGCACAAUGGGCGGAAGCCUGAUGCAGCGACGCCGCGUGAGGGAUGACGGCCUUCGGGUUGUAAACCGCUUUCGGCAGGGACGAAGCGUAAGUGACGGUACCUGCAGAAGAAGCGCCGGCCAACUACGUG
Molecule: ribosomal RNA, 462 nt
Filed under: uncultured bacterium
Lineage: Bacteria
Description: partial 16S ribosomal RNA
Rfam family: Bacterial small subunit ribosomal RNA
Source: RNAcentral